CCUCUUGCCUCUCAUCACUUCCUGUUGGGCUCCAGGUGGAGAUGGGAGAAAGGCAGUGGCUGUGAACUUCAUGCUCACACAGCCUAAGUACCAUCAGGCACCAACUGAACAACAACUCAUUGCUCUCUUUAUUACAUGGAUGGUGGAAGGCAGCAGCCCCAUGCCAGGCAGCACCAGCCCUGCUAUGUCACGGCCACGUUGCCAGGGGCAGCCACCAGCUCCAGGAAGCACCCUGCAGCUGGCACAGCCAUGUCACAAGAGCACAACAUCGGGGAGGGGGGGUGCGUUCCAGAGCCAGCUUGGUGUCACAGCAGCCCGGAAUGCUGAGCAGAAGGGCAGUGCCAGCCAGAGAUCGCCGCCGAGUACCCAAAUGAGCGAGGCUGUGGCGGGCAGGAGCAGCCCAUGGGGAUGGAUGGGGCUGCUCCUCCUCUCCCUCACAGCCACACAUGGGGACAGGGACACAGCAGGACGGCGAGACGCUCCUGUGCUCACCCACAGCACAGAUAAGUCGCACCCAAACUGGAGCCCACCUCGCUCCUGCAGGACCCUGGCAGCUCCCACGGGUCCCUUGCCCUGCCCUAAUGUUAGGGUGCUGCUUUGCUGAGUCCUGCCCCCACUCCAGGUGCUGGAACCGGACCUGCUGAUUGCAGUGGCCCUUUCCACACAGCCCUGGGGACAGCAACCCGGUGAGCAGGGCUGUGCAGGGGAGGGCAACACAGGGAAGCAGGGCAGGAGGCUGCUCCUUUCUUCCUUCCUCCCCCUCUGCCUUGCAGAUGGACAGCCCAACACAGAUGGCUCCAGAUGACCCAGAGUGCUGGAGCUCAGCCCUCCAAACUGCUGUCCUACAAAAAAGGUGCUGGCACCACACCAUCUGAUUGUGGUGGCCGUCUCAACGUGGCGUUACUGACACAGUGGGCCCCAAAUGGCCAAGGAAACCAUUUUCAGACCAACAACCCGGUGAGCAGGGCUGUGCAGGGGAGGGCAGCACAGGGAAGCAGGGCAGGAGGCUGCUCCUCUUGUACUUCCCCUCUGCCUUGCAGAAGGUCAGCCCAACACAAACGGCACCAGACGACAAGAAGUGAUGGAGCUCAGCCCUCCAAACUGCUGUCCUACAAA
Non-coding RNA from Meleagris gallopavo (turkey), 1116 nucleotides. The record is from RefSeq and is a predicted model, not a curated record. Lineage: Eukaryota; Metazoa; Chordata; Aves; Galliformes; Phasianidae.